This is a non-coding RNA of Petromyzon marinus (sea lamprey), 2724 nucleotides long. Lineage: Eukaryota; Metazoa; Chordata; Hyperoartia; Petromyzontiformes; Petromyzontidae. The record is from RefSeq and is a predicted model, not a curated record.
UGGGAUGGGUGAUUUGGAGAGGGAUUUCUAUAUUGUUUAAUAUAUAUCCUGCUCAUCGGCGUCUCGUUGAUGGCGGUUGCCACCGUGUGCCUCUGGUAUUAAUUAGUAUGACGCGCGGGCAGGCAAACGGGGGUAGAGGGCGGGGGGGGGGGCUUCGAAUCCCCAGCCCCCCCCCCCCACCACCCCCGCCACAGACACCAACACCGUCCUCCUCGCGCUCCAUCGGCUGCUCAGAGUGGCGCACGCUACAAUGAAGAUGAGCUCCGUGUACGGGUGGCGUUGCAUAUGCAAGAGCCUACGCGCGACGGCAGGGAGUGGAGUGUCGCACAUGGUGGACCUGAGUUCGAUCACGGCUCACGCAACAGUGGGGUGAGUGACAUCGAAGGAUACCCCUCCCCACCAGUCGAGUGCGGUGAAGUAUGGUCAAACGUCCUCCGCGACCAGCGCAGCGCGCGGGAAGACAACGUAGAGCAGUGGACUGCCAAUGGGCUGUGCUCUGGUUAUGGUUAGUUUAUGUUUGAUAUUGCCACCGUCAAGCGUUUGAACUGCACGUAACAAUGAGGACACCAAUUCAAGCUGCUGUCGCUACUGCGUCAGAACCCUCAACACAGCUGCACUGCUAUCAUUCCGCUUACGUCAACCACCAGGAAGGAUUAUUGAUUGAUUAUUAUAGUUGGUUAAAACUGGCUGACGGCCAAUGGACAUUGAGCAAUAAUUUUCUGCUUGGACAACUGUAAUUACACGGUCGUACAUUGCUAUCAUAUAUAGUCGUGGGUCAUUGUGAUGAAUAAAUAAAUACAAUCGAUAAAUAAAAAUGGAGACUGGUUAAUGACACCGCACGGCCUCUGGUGGAGCAUCGAUGUCACGCGGUAUUUAACGUGCAUCUCCAGCAGACGGCGCGUUUUGGUGCAGCCUGCCGGCGACACCUACAUCGUUCCAGGAAGGAGACACCACCACCACCCCCCCCCCCCCCCCCAUGAGUAAGGUCACUUGUCGUUCCGUCUCGUGCUGCGACGAAGGAUUUAUCUCACCUGUACGGAAUUGGGUCUUGUGUUUCCAAACUCAUGCAGAAGAACGCACCAACGUUCGACCCGGCAACUUCGCUUUGUGCUCGAUCCGCUUAGGUGAAGUGGACACCCCGAGGUUGGACUGUCGCGCCGUGCGAGUAUGUGGUGGCGCCUCUAUGCACAGACCACCUCGCGCGUUGCUCUGGCGCGAGACUCCUCCUGGACAGCGACGCCUCAAGCCGGAGGGUCAAACAGACGGUGGCAGGAAUCGAACCGUCAACGUUGCCGCUCGCUGGCUCUUGCAAGUUGGCUGGGUGGGGGGGGGGGGGGCCUAGGCGCCAGGCUGCCCGGUCCCUUGUACGACAAGAACAUCACAACGAGAAACAUCACCCCCGUCACGUGGGGUGCCAUGCAAGAAUGAAGCGCUGAACUUUAAGACCGCCUCUGAUGAAGGUGAAUAAUUUAUAGGGACUCGCUAUCGAGCGUGUGUCUCUGCAUGGGGCCCCAGGUGGCGGGUGACCCCCCACCCCCCCGAUGGACUUUGGUCGCUCGGCGGGAGGUCAACCCCCUUACCCGAGUUUGGGUUCUCAGCCCCCCCCCCCCCCCCAAGUCUCUGAAGAGCCCCGCCUUGAGAAUCUCUUUGAAGAGUCUCAGGUGGACGCUGCGGGACAACUCCGCAGUGUGAAUUUGGUGAACAACAACAACAACAACACAAACUUCACACAAAUGAAACACCGAGUGGACAGCUGUCCACUCUCGCUCCUUCCCCACAGGAAAAACCAUCUUCGGAAUUCACUGGGACAUUCACUCAAGUCGUUUGAUUGAAUUUUAAAACGUGACAUCGUACCGUGUAGAAUGCCGCUAUCACUCCAUACGAUGACCUCAUCAUCGUCAUCGUUGUCGUCUUCAUACGUGAGGCUGCGGGUCUCUAUGAGGAUCGCCACCCUUUCUACCAUAGACUAAAAACCCGCACAUAGUUCUCAGUCAGCCUGCGUCUUCUAUCAAACUGAGCAGGCUCCUGAAGUGAAGUUCAACACAACACCAGUCGGUCACCAGAUCUUGGACAGGUGACAAUCUUAUAGUUACGACGUGAGUCUACGGGUCUCCAUGCGAGUCUGUGGGUCUCUAUGUAAAUAUAUAUAUUAACAUAUCCAGUACUCUAAAUGCAUGUUUCAAAAUGUGGAGGAAAAAACCGCAGGGCCCGGAGGAAAUCCACGCGACCACGGGGAGAGAGACACGCCGACUCCAAAUAUACAGCAGGCGUCAAGGUCGGUAUCGUACCCACGUCUUCCUGUAUACCAGGCGAGGUUGUUAACAUCUCGGCUGCGUGGCGCCCCCAGAGUGAUGGUACGAGGGGAAAGUGAUGGCACAUGAGAGAUGGCAUAUGUCGGGACCGAUGGGUCAUGAAGUGAUGGGAUAUGGAGUGAGUUAUGGGACACGGAGUUGUAACCUGGUUCAACAAAAUAAACUUCAGACUCGGAAUGAGUGAUGGGACAUGGCGUGAGCGUUGGGAUGUGGAGAGAGUGAUGAAUCAUAGAGAGAUUGGGACACAACGCAAGUGACGAUUGGACAAAGAGAGUGCUGGUGGACACCAGCGCCGGAUUAAGCUAGUGUGGGGCCUGUAGCAUAUUUUAUAAAGGGGCCCUAAGUUAAAAAAACAUAUAUAAAAACAAAAAAUUUUUACUAGCAUAGUAAAGUAAUUGUAUCUUUUUCCAUU